Molecule: ribosomal RNA, 253 nt
Filed under: uncultured bacterium
Lineage: Bacteria
Description: partial 16S ribosomal RNA
Rfam family: Bacterial small subunit ribosomal RNA
Source: RNAcentral
UACGUAGGGUGCGAGCGUUAAUCGGAAUUACUGGGCGUAAAGCGUGCGCAGGCGGCUUUGCAAGACAGAUGUGAAAUCCCCGGGCUCAACCUGGGAACUGCAUUUGUGACUGCAAGGCUAGAGUACGGCAGAGGGGGAUGGAAUUCCGAGUGUAGAGGUGAAAUUCGUAGAUAUUCGGAGGAACACCAAUGGCGAAGGCAAUCCCCUGGGCCUGUACUGACGCUCAUGCACGAAAGCGUGGGGAGCAAACAGG